AUUGCCUCAGUAACGGCGAGUGAAGCGGCAACAGCUCAAAUUUGAAAUCUGGCGUCCUCCGGGCGUCCGAGUUGUAAUUUGAAGAGGGUGCUUUGGCGUCGGCGGCGGUCUAAGUCCCUUGGAACAGGGCAUCGCAGAGGGUGACAAUCCCGUACGUGACCGCGAGCCUUCGCCGUGUAAAGCCCCUUCGACGAGUCGAGUUGUUUGGGAAUGCAGCUCUAAAUGGGAGGUAAAUAUCUUCUAAAGCUAAAUACCGGCCAGAGACCGAUAGCGCACAAGUAGAGUGAUCGAAAGAUGAAAAGCACUUUGGAAAGAGAGUCAAAAAGCACGUGAAAUUGUUGAAAGGGAAGCGCUUGCAGCCAGACUUGCCCGCAGUUGCUCAUCCAGGCUCUCGCCUGGUGCACUCUUCUGCGGGCAGGCCAGCAUCAGUUUGGGCGGCCGGAUAAAGACCUCUGUCACGUAUCUGCCUUCGGGUUGACCUUAUAGGGGAGGUGCAAUGCGGCCAGCCCGGACUGAGGUCCGCGCAUCUGCUAGGAUGCUGGCGUAAUGGCUGUAAGCGGCCCGUCUUGAAACACGGACCAAGGAGUCUAACAUCUAUGCGAGUGUUUGGGUGUCAAGCCCGGGCGCGCAAUGAAAGUGAACGGAGGUGGGAACCCUCUCGGGGGCGCACCAUCGACCGAUCCUGAUGUCUUCGGAUGGAUUUGAGUAAGAGCAUAGCUGUUGGGACCCGAAAGAUGGUGAACUAUGCUUGAAUAGGGUGAAGCCAGAGGAAACUCUGGUGGAGGCUCGCAGCGGUUCUGACGUGCAAAUCGAUCGUCAAAUUUGGGCAUAGGGGCGAAAGACUAAUCGAC
RNAcentral lists this ribosomal RNA (851 nucleotides) under Lonicericola hyaloseptispora. Its description in RNAcentral is "partial large subunit ribosomal RNA". It matches the Rfam family "Eukaryotic large subunit ribosomal RNA", at positions 74 to 940 of the family's 3401-position model. The record is from RNAcentral. Lineage: Eukaryota; Fungi; Ascomycota; Dothideomycetes; Pleosporales; Parabambusicolaceae.